GUAAAUGUAGUGCGAAAGAGGAGUAGCCCUGUAUUCUUAUCAGAGAGAGACCGGAAGGUGCAAGGUCUUAAGAAGAAAGGGUGAAGGUAGCUUUCAAACAGCAUCUCUGAGAAAGUGCGGUAUGCAGAUUAGGAGAUGACGGCUUCCCCGUUAUGGAAAUAAAGGUGAUGAGUUUAAACGUAAUGUUAAAAUUUUAUCAUAAAAUAAGGUGGUACAGCGGGAUAUGCUCUCGCCCUUAGC
RNAcentral lists this non-coding RNA (240 nucleotides) under Catonella morbi. Its description in RNAcentral is "T-box sequence". It matches the Rfam family "T-box leader". From Rfam's summary of the family: Uncharged tRNA acts as the effector for transcription antitermination of genes in the T-box leader family. T-boxes are found upstream of many aminoacyl-tRNA synthetase genes and some amino acid biosynthetic genes usually in Gram-positive bacteria. The record is from RNAcentral. Lineage: Bacteria; Bacillati; Bacillota; Clostridia; Lachnospirales; Lachnospiraceae.